AUUGGUUACUAGAUCAUAUGUUGUGAUUCUUUGAUGAGAAAAUUGUUGGUGUGGACUAUGAGAGAAUUCUUUGCUCCAUAUCAAAUGGAACGUUGGAUAUUUGAUGUAAACUGAGGGCAGAAGAUACAUUAGCUUGAAAACAUGCACCACCAGGCUCAAGAUUGAAUUAAACCACUUUCAACCUUAAACAAGAGAAAAUCUGCAGAUGCUGGAAAUCCGAGCAACACACACAAAAUGCUGGAAGAACUCAACAGGCCAGGCAGCAUCUGUGGAAAAGAAUACAGUCGACACUUCGGGCCGAGACCCUUCAUCAGGUCUAGAGAUAAAAGAUGAGAAUCCCAAAUAAGAAGGUUUUGGUCAUCAUGAUCACCAGUUAUUGCCAAGCUUUUUUGAUAAGUUUGGGAAAGGCAUAUUUAUCUACUGAAGAGUCUCUGAGAAGGAAUCCUUUCCUUGGAACCGUCCAGCUACUGUGGCAUUGACCAAGACAAGGGAGAUCUGGAUGUCAAAGAUACAGCUGCUAUUAUGGGCAUCAGACCAAUGAGAGAGAGUUCAGAUUUACAGUAGGCACUUGCAAGCAAAGAGUUUGCUUUUUUCAUGUGGCAUUUCUUGAACUCCAGCCAAUCUUUCCACUUCCACAAAUGUAUUGUAUAUCAAAGUUCAAAGUAAAUUUAUUACCAAAGUUGUUAUGUUUUGUAACCUCAAAACAUUAAACUAAUUCAAGGAAAGACUCGGGAGUCUGA
Hypanus sabinus (Atlantic stingray) is the source of this 740-nucleotide long non-coding RNA. RefSeq lists it as uncharacterized. The transcript is spliced from 4 exons. NCBI's taxonomy places the organism in Eukaryota, Metazoa, Chordata, Chondrichthyes, Myliobatiformes, Dasyatidae. The record is from RefSeq and is a predicted model, not a curated record.